This 303-nucleotide unclassified non-coding RNA is filed under the name uncultured fungus. RNAcentral's name for it is "partial contains 18S rRNA, ITS1, 5.8S rRNA, ITS2 and 28S rRNA". Lineage: Eukaryota; Fungi. The record is from RNAcentral.
AAGGAUCAUUAUUGAAUAAACAUUUGAUAGGCUGUUGCUGGCCCCUUCUGGGGUAUUGUGCACGCUUGUCAUUCAUUUAUUUAUUUCCACCUGUGCACCUUUUUGUAGACCCUUAGAGAAAAGCAAAUCAAUUGUUUCGAGCAAUUGGGAUAGGGACUGCUGUGCUGUGAAGUGCCAGCUUUUCCUUGUUUCUCUAGGUUCUAUGUUAUUCACAUACUCCUAUGAAUGUAAUAGAAUGUUGAUCUGGGUCUUUGAUGCCCAUAAAGUUAUAUACAACUUUCAGCAAUGGAUCUCUUGGCUCUC